GACAUGAUUUGAUCACGUGAUCCAAUGUCAUGACCGAGUCCGAAAGGGCAGUUUCAGAAUUGUCGGUACUCGGUACUAUAAAUGAAAUUACAAGAGGCCCUUGUCUUUCAGCCUGUGUUUAAACGAUAGGGAUGCCGUCGAAUCACUGAACCUAUUUAUAAAUUCCCUAGGCAUUGGCUCUCUCAAGAGUAAUUGGAUUCACACGCGCAUGUAGUGUGAAGUAGAUUUCCUCGUGCAGUAGAUACAAAAUAGCAGAAUUGUUGCAGUGUUCCGAUCCCCAUUCGAACCACAACACGUUAGUUUGAAUACAUCAUAGUAUUUCAUUUGCCAGUCAUUAAAAGUAUACGUUUUUUAUGAGCGAAUGUGUGUUUUCUUUCUUUCCACAAAGUUCUUUCUUUGUUCCCCUGGCUAAAGUGUAAGUGGGUUGUUUCCAGUUUUCAAUCACAUGUGAACAAAAAUAUGCAUGGAUAAAUUAUGAAACCAGUCAAGUCUUGAUUAGUGUUUAUGAUAUUCAGCUCAACCGUUUUCCUGUAUCACAAGUUUUGAAUUGCACCAGUGUUCGUAUAGUUUGUUGUAGCUACAGCCUUAAAAAAAUUCACAUGGGUGAUAGUCAUGACUGGAGACCAUUUAUCUAUGGAGGUUUCUCAUCUUGUACAGCUGAAUUUGGUACAUUCCCAAUUGAUACUACCAAAACAAGGCUUCAGAUUCAAGGCCAGAAGUUGGAUGGAAGAUUUACAGUUGUUCGCUACAAUGGCAUGUUUCACGCAUUGUCAAGAAUCACCAGGGAAGAAGGUGUCAGGGCUUUGUAUUCAGGCAUUUGGCCAGCACUUUUAAGACAAUCCACAUAUGGAACUAUCAAGUUUGGGAUUUACUAUACCCUCAAAAAGUGGAUUGAUCAUCCUGAAGUUGAAGACAUGAUGACAAACAUAUUUUGUGGUGUUAUUGCUGGUGUGGUUUCAAGUGCCAUAGCCAAUCCAACGGAUGUAUUGAAAGUAAGGAUGCAAGCAUGCUCAACCUCCCUGCAGCAAAAGUCAAUGUUUGAGUGCUUUGGAGAUGUAUACAGACAAGAAGGAAUAUCUGGUUUGUGGCGGGGAGUUGGUCCAACCGCACAGAGAGCAGCCGUGAUAACGGCUGUGGAAUUGCCCAUUUACGAUAUCUGUAAGCAUCGGUUAAUACAGGGUAAUGUAAUGGGCGAUACAGUCUCAAAUCACUUUGUGUCAAGCUUUAUAUCAAGUUUGGGUGGUGCAGUCGCCUCAACUCCAAUUGACGUCGUUCGUGUUCGGCUGAUGAAUCAACGACGCCUUAAAUCUGGAGUACGAUUCGGGUUCGGCAUGAGCAGUGAUUUUUCUCUUCACAAAUCUCGACUCUAUCGUGGAACUUUAGAUUGUUUUGUACAGACCGUCCGACACGAAGGUAUCAUGGCUCUCUAUCGUGGUUUUAUUCCAACUUGGUUGCGUAUGGGCCCGUGGAACGUGAUUUUCUUUAUUACGUACGAACAGCUGAAAAAGUUGUACUAAUCGAAAGCUGAUCUGGUCGUCGAGUCAACAAGAACAAUUCUAAAUUGUUUCCCGAAUUUCCCUUCUGACUGACGCAUCCGUAUCAAUCAAAUGGCGAGUAUUAAGUCGACCUAGUGUCGCCUCAACGAGCUCAUAGAUCGUCGUCUGUCAGUAUCCGGGCACCGGGCUUUGGCAGAACUUUACUUGUAGUCUACUUCAGUUAAUAUCGAGAGGGAUUUCCACUUUAGUUUAAAAUAUUUUUGACAGUCAAUUAAAGUAGGCUACAUUUUUUUAAUGAGCGAAUGUGUCCUUUCUUUCUUCUUACCAAGUCCCUCUUUGUUCUCCGUGCUAAAAGCUUGAGUGGGUUGUUUUCUUUUAAAUUAUAUGAACAAAAAUAUGUACAGAUAAAUUAAGGAAGUGCUCAUUAGAUGUAUUUAUUAGAUAGUCAGCUCAACUGAUUUUCUGCCCCAUCUCUUUAGAUUUGUAAAUAUAAGACUCCUUUGUAAUAGUUAAAUGUAGUCACAGUCAUGGUGGAAAAGUUGUAUGUUUACACCUGGAUCGCUUCAGUGUUUCCAUAAAAAAGUGAAUAUAGUACAAACAAGCAGACGAAAAAACUCCGUUUACAUCAAUUUGUUUGGUAUUUUGCCAAAGAAUCGACUGCUUCCAGCGUCCGCAUUAGUGCCCAAAGCAACUUCAAACUAUGGAUUUUAAUAAGGUAGUUUGAUGCUAUAGUUAAAGCCUAUUAGCCUAUUGUUAAUAAAGUUAAAUGAGUGUUAACUACAUACACAUGGUAUUAACCACUAAAUUACUUGGCUUGACUUAAACCAUACCUGUUGUGGUUUGUGGUCUCCUGAAAUGAUAAAUUGUUGAUGUUCUUUUUUACAUUGUUUUCUGGAUUUUUGUCAGGAUUAGCAGCCAUUGCAGGUGAACUAAGUGGAUCACUGGAAUUUAAGAUAAUCAUAAAGUGUGUUGAAGUAUCAUUUUGCAGCUUCUUGUCAAAAAAUUAUUCAUAAACUAUUUCGACCUUCAAUACAAAUCUUGCUUAACUGAAAGAACCCCAAAAAAUAUUGUCAACGAAACGAAUAGAAAGCAUAUUGUCUUUCGAUGACGAUUGGGUUAAAUUUACUGAAAUUGGUUGAAGACUUGGAUGUUCUUUAAUUGUUAAUGGACAAUCCUACUCAUUUUUUUCUAAACUCUAAACUGUCACUGUCAGAGUGUCAGGUAACAUUACGAAUAAUCAGUUAACCGAAAGAAGGUCUCAAAUCUGCUACCAGGUGCCUCUGAGCCAUGAUAAAUUGAUAACAAUAAUGGCUGCCGUUGUCAAUGAUUGGCUGAUUGCUGAUUCGCUGAUUGUGAUCUAACAUUAAAGACUUUUUUGUUAGACAUUUUCUGGAAUUUGUGAAAUUAAGAAAGUGUGACUGAUCCUGAAAACAUGUUUUUCUGUCACAUAAUUACUGUGUUUGAUUUUCUUUGUUUCCUUUCAAGAAGCAGCUGAUUACCAGUGAGACAUGUCUCAACUUGGCUUGGACGUCUACUUCCUCAAGAGAUUACUAUUGGCUUGGUGGUGAUGACCAUACACAGAGAAGAACUUUAAACUGUUCCAGCGAUAAAGCUUACUUGUUAGAUUUUUCUCUACUUCUUAUUUCUAAAUUUGCUAAUAGUUCUGUAAAUAUUCAUUGGACGUUAAAAAGAACCACACAAUCGGGAUCCUCGUGAAAUUUGGGGUCGAUUUCGUGCCUCUCAGUAAGUCGGUAGAAAAUAUCGAAAAAUUUUGGUUUUCGUUUAAAACACAUGAAAUCGACCCAAAAUUUCAUAGAAAUUUGGUUCUUUCGAAUUCGAAUAUUUCGUGUAGAGGUUGGGUUAGAACCGUGCAUUGGUAUAGAGGUUGGGUGAGAAGUGAGAACUAAACUGUGAAGGGGUGUAGAGGUUGGGUGAGAACCGUGCAAUGUAGUGUAGAGGAUGGGUGAGAACGACACGUGUCGAAUCAUUAUCAAGCAGGUAGAAUAGCCACAAGGCUUAAGAGGUGAGGGUGAGAAAAAAAUCGUAUAAAAAGAGAGAGAAAAUUCUAUCGAGAUCAGUCGAGUGAGCAUCUCCGACACGGCAACAACUGCAGCGCAUUAUUGGUCCCCAACUGCUUUCUUCAUGGUAUUACCAGUUCGCAAUCAUGGGCUGGGUCGACUGCUGUUGUACUGAUGUCUCCUGGGUAUGGUGGAUACCAAACCGCAUCGCUGCCUCUUUACUACGCAACAACCGGUUACUUCACAACCAAGGCUCCAGGAUUUCACGCCGCAGCUUAUGAUGCUUACGAGCUACAUCACCAAAAAGAGCCUGCCGACUACACCGAAGUUUCCAAGUACUACACCACCAAGUCACCGGAGUGCUACACGGCUGCGUAUGCUGCCCUUGCCUACUGCACCGAGGUUCCAAUUUAUUACAACAACGAAGCGCGCAGGUUCUACACUGCAACAUACGCUGCCCCGAACCACUACACCGACGCCAAGAAGUAUUACUCUGCGUAAAAGGAGUCGUCUAGAAACAUGAAGUCGUAUGAAACGAGUGAGGAUCUUCGACACGGCAUCAACUGCAGUGCACAUCUGUCACCAAAUGCAUUCCUCAUCGUAAAACCAAUUCGAAAUUAUCGGUACAAUUGCCGCAAGGCUUAAGCUGAAAGGUGGAAUAGAAGUCCAACGAAAAAUUGUAUAAACCGAGGAAAGGCGAUAGGAGUCAGUCGAGUGAACAUCUCCAACACGGUAACAACUGCAUCGUACUAUUUGUCGCUAGCUGCCUUGUUCAUCUCAUCGUAUAACCAGCUCUUAAUUAUGGCGUGCUGCUGUUGGGUGUUGUAUCGUUGAUGGCUGUGUCGACGACUCGUGUACCGAUGUCUCCUUAGUAUGGCGGGUGCCAAACCGCAACGCCGCCGUCUUACUACACAACAUACGCCACGACCAGUUACUUCACCACCAAGGCACCAGAAUAUUACACCACAACUUAUGAUGCCCCGAUCUGCACCACCAAAGUACCAGAGUACUACACUACUUCGUUAGCUGUCCCGUCCUACUACACCGAGCUUCCCAAGUACUACUCUGUUCCCAGUUACUACACCGAGGCUCCAGCCUAUUACUCCACUAAAGCUGGCGAAUACUACACCGAAGUAUCCAAGUUCUACUCUGCCCCGAGCUCCACCAUCACAUCUUAGGAGACAAAGUGUUACUACCCAGCGGCUGCUCCUUCGUACCACAUUGACCUGAAAGACUAAACUGAUGCGAUAGCUAACUACACCAAAACCUACGCUACACCUAGAUACUGCACCACAGAAGUCGAAUAUUACACAACAACCAAUGCUGCCCCAGUCUACUACACCGACGAACUUCAGUAUUACUCUUCUCUAAGCUACUACCGAACAGAAACUUCCGCUUACUACACCACCUAGGUCCCGGAGUUUUACACUUCAGCUUACGCAUCUCCCAGUUACUAUGCCGAGGCUCCCAAGUACGUAUCCAAGGCACCCGAGUAUUACCACUGCUAACGCUGUUCCGACCUACUACACCGAAGUUCUGAAGUUUUACUCUACCCUGAGUUAUUACACCACUGAGGCACCUGAAUCUGAACACCACAACCUACGUUCCUCCAACUCACUACAGGGACGCUCCUAAAAACUAGAGUCGAAUUUUCAAUUGUAAUAAUUAUGUUCAGAUUUGUCGGUUACAUCUUAAAAGUAUUAGUCACUGGGAAUUGUUGAUCUUUAAUGAGAAAAUAAAUUUUUAAUUCUGGGUAA
Daphnia pulex (common water flea) is the source of this 5271-nucleotide RNA transcript. It is a transcript of the gene named mitochondrial uncoupling protein Bmcp-like, with no coding region annotated. The record is from RefSeq and is a predicted model, not a curated record. The transcript has 12 exons. NCBI's taxonomy places the organism in Eukaryota, Metazoa, Arthropoda, Branchiopoda, Diplostraca, Daphniidae.